This 253-nucleotide ribosomal RNA is filed under the name uncultured bacterium. Its description in RNAcentral is "partial 16S ribosomal RNA". It matches the Rfam family "Bacterial small subunit ribosomal RNA", at positions 524 to 776 of the family's 1533-position model. The record is from RNAcentral.
UACGUAGGGCGCAAGCGUUGUCCGGAAUUAUUGGGCGUAAAGAGCUCGUAGGCGGCUUGUCACGUCGAUUGUGAAAGCCCGAGGCCUAACCUCGGGUCUGCAGUCGAUACGGGCUAGCUAGAGUGUGGUAGGGGAGAUCGGAAUUCCUGGUGUAGCGGUGAAAUGCGCAGAUAUCAGGAGGAACACCGGUGGCGAAGGCGGAUCUCUGGGCCAUUACUGACGCUGAGGAGCGAAAGCGUGGGGAGCGAACAGG